RNAcentral lists this ribosomal RNA (505 nucleotides) under Fodinibius sp. Its description in RNAcentral is "bacterial SSU rRNA". It matches the Rfam family "Bacterial small subunit ribosomal RNA", at positions 143 to 643 of the family's 1533-position model. Lineage: Bacteria; Pseudomonadati; Balneolota; Balneolia; Balneolales; Balneolaceae. The record is from RNAcentral.
AUAACCCACCGAAAGGUGAGCUAAUACCGGAUGAUGCAGCGGGGCCGCAUGGCCACAGUUGUUAAAUCCUUCGGGAGCCUAAUGAUGAACCUGCGUGCCAUUAGCUAGUUGGUAGGGUCAAAGCCUACCAAGGCAAUGAUGGCUAGGGGGUCUGAGAGGAUGAUCCCCCACACUGGGACUGAGACACGGCCCAGACUCCUACGGGAGGCAGCAGUGAGGAAUCUUGCGCAAUGGAGGAAACUCUGACGCAGCCACGCCGCGUGCUGGAAGACGGCCCUAUGGGUUGUAAACAGCUUUUACUAGGGAAGAACCUGGACCUUUCGAGGACCACUGACGGUACCUAGUGAAUAAGCACCGGCUAACUCCGUGCCAGCAGCCGCGGUAAUACGGAGGGUGCAAGCGUUGUCCGGAAUCAUUGGGUGUAAAGGGUGUGCAGGCGGAAGUCUAAGUCGGAGGUGAAAUCUUGCCGCUUAACGGUAAAAGUGCCUUCGAAACUGGAUUUCUU